UUUUAUUUUGAUAUUAUUUUUUAUUGUUGAAAAAAUUAAUAAUAAUUUAUUGUUAAUAAAAAUUAAAAUUUAUAAUAUUUUUAUUUUUAUUUUUUAGUUUUAAAUAAAAAAAAUAAAAUUUAUAUAUAUAAAAAUUUUGUUAUAAAUUAUAAUAGUUUAUUUAUUUGUUUUUUAUAAUAAAUAAUAGUAUUUUUUUUAUUAUUUUAUAAAAAAAAAUAAUUUAAUUAUAAUUAUUAAAAGUAAUUUUGUUAUUUAGAAUAAUAUAUUAAUAUAAAUAACAAAAAUAUUAAAUAUUUUUUAAAUUUUUUGGGGAUUUAAGUUAUAAUUUUUUGUGUCUGCUCAAUGAAUUUAAAUAGCACUUUUAGCGUGAUGGGCCAAGCUAC
RNAcentral lists this ribosomal RNA (383 nucleotides) under Meloidogyne hapla. RNAcentral's name for it is "partial 16S ribosomal RNA". The record is from RNAcentral. Lineage: Eukaryota; Metazoa; Nematoda; Chromadorea; Rhabditida; Meloidogynidae.